GAGAAAAGAAAUAGCAGUAGAGAUAAAGAAGAUAAGAGAAGGAAAGGACGAAGAUCCGGCCCAACCGGCAGCAGUCUAGCGACGUCUGUUGGGCCAGGAAGCAGGCCAGCGGCCUAGCUUUGUCCUCCGGCUCCGUCGCCGCCGUCUCCUCUCCCUACAUCACCAGCCGGCAGCCGCUGCCCAUUCUCCUCAACCGUGUCCGUGCUCCUCCAUUGCGCAAAUCGGAUUGGGCCGCCACCAGCUCUGCUCUACCUAUUUUCAUCUCGCCCCACCGUUCUAUGCGCCUCAGAUCCCAGCCUCCACGGGGACUGGGGCCACCGUGACAGCAACGGUGUCCAGCCUUUCCCAACCACGCCUUCGAGCGCACCGGGCUCACAGUCACACCGCCGCGCCCUGCGACUGCUCCGCCGGGAGAGCCAACUCUUACGCCUGCUCCGCUCGCUCGGCGCUCAAGACCGUCGCCGGCGUGGUCAGCCUCGGGCAGCAGCUGCAGGAGGUCCGUAUCUAGCGGCAGCUCGCCUCGUCGUCCGGGACCAAGAGUCCAAGACAGAAGCACACUGAACGCUCGCGGCCGCGACGGUGUGGAAUCUGGAAUGUCACAAUGUGGAGAGACGGUAGUCAUCUCCGGGCACAUCGCUCAAGCAAAAUGCCAUCAGCUCCACUAUACCAACCAAUUUCAGAUUUGAAUAACAGUGUUGGAUCAAAUAUGAUGCACCCAAAAUCAAGUGAGGAAGAGGAAGAGAUGGGAGAACGAAACGCAGCAGUCCCAUUCAAGAAUUUAAUCCAAGAUCAAUCACUUCUACAAGUGCAUACAAUGGCAAGACUUGAGGCGUUUAAAUGUUGAAUGGAGAAAGGACAUAGAGUUUGUAUCAUAACCAUCAGGGGACGAUUUUGGAAAAUUGAGCCAUUGUAGUAAUAUAAUAGUCUUGCUAGAGAAUCAUAUGUAUAAUUGUCUCUGAGAGAAAAAAAACUCAGGGCUUGUUCGGUUAUUUCCGUUUCAUGUGGAUUGGAGGGUAUUGGGUGGGAUUGAGAUGAAUUUUGAUUUAUUAUGGAUCUAAACCGACUUAGGGCU
This is a long non-coding RNA of Zea mays, 1072 nucleotides long. RefSeq lists it as uncharacterized. The record is from RefSeq and is a predicted model, not a curated record. NCBI's taxonomy places the organism in Eukaryota, Viridiplantae, Streptophyta, Magnoliopsida, Poales, Poaceae. The transcript has 2 exons.